This 214-nucleotide ribosomal RNA is filed under the name uncultured bacterium. RNAcentral's name for it is "partial 16S ribosomal RNA". It matches the Rfam family "Bacterial small subunit ribosomal RNA", at positions 1289 to 1500 of the family's 1533-position model. The record is from RNAcentral.
CAGUUCGGAUUGUAGGCUGCAACUCGCCUACAUGAAGUCGGAAUCGCUAGUAAUCGCGGAUCAGCAUGCCGCGGUGAAUACGUUCCCGGGCCUUGUACACACCGCCCGUCACACCAUGAGAGUCGGGAACACCCGAAGUCCGUAGCCUAACCGCGAAGGGGGGGCGCGGCCGAAGGUGGGUUCGAUAAUUGGGGUGAAGUCGUAACAAGGUAUC